This 351-nucleotide long non-coding RNA is filed under the name Calidris pugnax (ruff). Its description in RNAcentral is "lncRNA (ENSCPUG00000019766.1)". Lineage: Eukaryota; Metazoa; Chordata; Aves; Charadriiformes; Scolopacidae. The record is from RNAcentral.
CACACUUAAACCGGUGCUUAAUAUCUGAGCAGUUCUGUGUUGUUCUGAGUUAGAAACACUGUUUUAACUCAAAGUUUUAAAUGCAGAAAUGCUGUGGGGUCAGUAACCCUGGGAGAGGGGGAGGAUGGGCACUUAGACAUCAGACCUCAUGAGGUGAAAGAUAGUGUUUGGAAGAAGUAAGUGGCCUGGUGUUCAGUAACAUAUGCCUAACUAUAAACCUUCUCUUUUAUACUUGAGGAAGAAGCUGAAAGCACUGGACACACCUCUGUUUCUGUUGGAGGUCGCUUGCUGAUUUAUCUCCAAUUCACAGCUCAUUAGAAGAAGGGCAGCUUUUCCAUGGUUUUGGUGUUU